GACGAACGCUGGCGGCGUGCUUAACACAUGCAAGUCGAGCGGUAAGGCCCUUUCGGGGGUACACGAGCGGCGAACGGGUGAGUAACACGUGGGUGACCUGCCCUCAGCUCUGGGAUAAGCCUGGGAAACUGGGUCUAAUACUGGAUAUGACUCCACGGUGCAUGUCGUGGGGUGGAAAGCCUUGUGCGGCUGAGGAUGGGCCCGCGGCCUAUCAGCUUGUUGGUGGGGUGANGGCCUACCAGGGCGACGACGGGUAGCCGGCCUGAGAGGGCGACCGGCCACACUGGGACUGAGACACGGCCCAGACUCUUACGGGAGGCAGCAGUGGGGAAUCUUGCGCAAUGGGCGAAAGCCUGACGCAGCGACGCCGCGUGAGGGAUGACGGCCU
Molecule: ribosomal RNA, 388 nt
Filed under: uncultured bacterium
Lineage: Bacteria
Description: bacterial SSU rRNA
Rfam family: Bacterial small subunit ribosomal RNA
Source: RNAcentral